UUGGAGGGCAAGUCUGGUGCCAGCAGCCGCGGUAAUUCCAGCUCCAAUAGCGUAUAUUAAAGUUGUUGCAGUUAAAAAGCUCGUAGUUGAAUUUCGGAAUCAGUAUGUUGGUCGUGCUUCGGUACGUACUGUCAUUACUGGUUUCUACCUUCUGAAGAACCUUGAUGUCAUUAAUUUGGUGUCUUGGGGAAUCAGGACUGUUACUUUGAAAAAAUUAGAGUGUUUAAAGCAAGCAUACGCUUGAAUACAUUAGCAUGGAAUAAUGAAAUAGGACGUUUGAUUCUAUUUUGUUGGUUUCUAGGAUCGACGUAAUGAUUAAUAGGGAUAGUUGGGGGCAUUAGUAUUCAAUUGUCAGAGGUGAAAUUCUUGGAUUUAUUGAAGACUAACUACUGCGAAAGCAUUUGCCGAGGAUGUUUUCAUUAAUCAAGAACGAAAGUUAGGGGAUCGAAGACGAUCAGAUACCGUCGUAGUCUUAACCAUAAACUAUGCCGACUAGGGAUCGGAUGAUGUUAUUUUUAAUGACUCAUUCGGCGCCUUACGGGAAAC
RNAcentral lists this ribosomal RNA (546 nucleotides) under uncultured Glomus. Its description in RNAcentral is "SSU rRNA". It matches the Rfam family "Eukaryotic small subunit ribosomal RNA", at positions 548 to 1098 of the family's 1831-position model. The record is from RNAcentral. Lineage: Eukaryota; Fungi; Glomeromycota; Glomeromycetes; Glomerales; Glomeraceae.